CUCUUCUUGAUUUUAUAUGAAGUAUAACCUGCCCAAUGAAUAAAUUUAAUGGCCGCGGUAUAUUGACCGUGCAAAGGUAGCAUAAUCAUUAGUCUUUUAAUUGGGGGCUGGAAUGAAUGGUUGGACGAGAUAAAUUCUGUCUUUAUCUAAUUUAUUUAGAAUUUAAUUAUUAAGUUAAAAAGCUUAAAUUUUUUUAUGGGACGAGAAGACCCUAUAGAGUUUAUAUAAAUUUUUAUUAAGUUUUGGUUUGUUAAAAUAUUAUUUUAUAAAUUUAUUUUGUUGGGGUGAUGGAAAGAUAAUUGUAGCUCUUUCUUUAUAUAAUUAAUAAUUAUUAUUUAUUUGAUCCAUUAUUAAUGAUUAUAAGACUAAAUUACCUUAGGGAUAACAGCGUAAUCUUUUUUGAGAGUUCUUAUCGACAAAAAGGGUUGCGA
RNAcentral lists this ribosomal RNA (431 nucleotides) under Panchlora nivea. RNAcentral's name for it is "partial 16S ribosomal RNA". It matches the Rfam family "Archaeal large subunit ribosomal RNA", at positions 1922 to 2592 of the family's 2987-position model. The record is from RNAcentral. Lineage: Eukaryota; Metazoa; Arthropoda; Insecta; Blattodea; Blaberidae.